UCAAAUCGGGUGAGACUACCCGCUGAACUUAAGCAUAUCAAU
Molecule: ribosomal RNA, 42 nt
Filed under: uncultured Russulaceae
Lineage: Eukaryota; Fungi; Basidiomycota; Agaricomycetes; Russulales; Russulaceae
Description: partial 28S ribosomal RNA
Source: RNAcentral